AUGACUAGCACACAUCAGAGAGGCACCUUCUUUCACCCAGCAUCACGAGUGACACAAAAGCACAGACACGAAUCAGGAGAAAUGAAGAAACCAGCCCUUUGUGUCUUUAAAGACAUGGGUCUUCGGCGAGGACUAAAUGUUUCCACAAGAAUGUUGCUCACCCCUCCAUUACUACAUACUCUUCUGCUGAGCUCCAACCUGGCCUUUUAAUCAUUGGUGCUCAAGGUAAAAUCCAUUUCAUGGCAUAAAUAGUUAACUUUCCUAAAUUCAAUAGAUCUUGUGACUACAAAAAUAUUACAUAUUAUAAACUUCUAAUUGAAGGUAAACCAAAACCUCUAAGAAAUUAUCUUGUUUUCUACUACUUUUCAGUGUGUCUUCCUUCUUAUACUAGAAUACUUCUUAGAAAUGAAAAAUUCAUUACAACAAAAUUUACAUUUACUACGCAGCUGUCUGCUAUGAUUUGUAAGUACAUAUAUCUUUUCUAUUGCUUAUGAAAUGAAAGUGUGGAGGUUUUUUUUUUUCUUUUUUUAGCUGUGUGUAUGUGUGUGUGUAUGCACAUGUGGUCCAUAAAAAGUAACUGAAUGAGUGCAGAUGAGAUUCAAUGAGAGGAGCCAUUUUCAAAGCGAAUGUCGGACAGACACAGACACCAUGGUUAGUUUUUUUUUUUUUUUUUUUUUUGAGACCGAGUGUCACUGUGUCGCCCAGACUGGAGUGCAGUGGCGCGAUCUUGGCUCACUGCAACCUCCACAAGCAGUUCUCCUGCCUCAGCCUCCUGAGUAACUGGGACUAGAGGCGUGCACCACCAUGCCCAGCUAAUUUUUGUAUUCUUAGUAGAGACGAGGUUUCACCAUGUUGGUUAGGCUGGUCUGGAACUCCUGACCUCAGGUGAUCCACUCACCUCGGCCUCCUAAAGUGCUGGGAUUACAGGCAUGAGCCACUGCACCCAGUCUUGGUUAGUUGGUUUCUGACAGCAAUGAUGAAGUAAUGAACUUGGUGUAAAAGCACCAGAUUCAGGUCAAGAUAUUUUUGAAAAAUAUAUUUUUGCUUAUUUUUAAUGAUAGCAUUUAUUUUUGUCAGCUCUUGAAAUUAAUAAGAGGGCUCCUAUCUGGUUUAUUCAUGGCUUCUUUAAACCUUGUCUCCACAUGUAUUUGUCAUAAUUAGUGAUGGAGAUUCCUAAGUUCCAAGGCUAACAGAAUAAUAUAGCUGUAAAUAUAGCAUAUCAUCAUUUGACUAAUUAAGUGGAAUCUAAGAAGAAAACAGUUAACUUCAUUUCUGGGUAGUAAUAUUGCAUUAUGGAC
This 1298-nucleotide long non-coding RNA is filed under the name Macaca nemestrina (pig-tailed macaque). RNAcentral's name for it is "lncRNA (ENSMNEG00000045939.1)". Lineage: Eukaryota; Metazoa; Chordata; Mammalia; Primates; Cercopithecidae. The record is from RNAcentral.